UACAGAGGGGGCAAGCGUUAUUCGGAAUUAUUGGGCGUAAAGGGCGCGUAGGCGGCCUGGCAAGUGGAAGGUGAAAUCCCUCGGCUUAACCGAGGAACUGCCUCCCAAACUGCUUGGCUUGAGACCGGGAGAGGUGAGUGGAAUUCCCAGUGUAGCGGUGAAAUGCGUAGAUAUUGGGAGGAACACCAGUGGCGAAGGCGGCUCACUGGACCGGUACUGACGCUGAUGCGCGAAAGCGUGGGGAGCGAACAGG
Molecule: ribosomal RNA, 253 nt
Filed under: uncultured bacterium
Lineage: Bacteria
Description: partial 16S ribosomal RNA
Rfam family: Bacterial small subunit ribosomal RNA
Source: RNAcentral